This 463-nucleotide ribosomal RNA is filed under the name uncultured bacterium. RNAcentral describes it as "partial 16S ribosomal RNA". It matches the Rfam family "Bacterial small subunit ribosomal RNA", at positions 28 to 507 of the family's 1533-position model. The record is from RNAcentral.
GACGAACGCUGGCGGCGUGCUUAACACAUGCAAGUCGAACGGAAAGGCCUUUUCGGAGGUACUCGAGUGGCGAACGGGUGAGUAACACGUGGGUGAUCUGCCCUGCACUCUGGGAUAAGCCUGGGAAACUGGGUCUAAUACCGGAUAGGACCGCACUUUAGUGUGUGUGGUGGAAAGUUUUUUCGGUGUAGGAUGAGCCCGCGGCCUAUCAGCUUGUUGGUGGGGUAAUGGCCUACCAAGGCGGCGACGGGUAGCCGGACUGAGAGGUUGGGCGGCCACAUUGGGACUGAGAUACGGCCCAGCCUCCCACGGGAGGCAGCAGUGGGGAAUGUUGCACAAUGGGGGCAAGCCUGAUGCAGCGACGCCGCGUGGCGGACGACGGCCUUCGGGUUGUAAACUCCUUUCGCCAGGGACGAAGCGUUUUGUGACGGUACCUGGAGAAGAAGCACCGGCUAACUACGUG